RNAcentral lists this ribosomal RNA (329 nucleotides) under uncultured eukaryote. Its description in RNAcentral is "partial 18S ribosomal RNA". It matches the Rfam family "Eukaryotic small subunit ribosomal RNA", at positions 1470 to 1796 of the family's 1831-position model. The record is from RNAcentral.
CCCUUAGAUGUUCUGGGCUGCACGCGCGCUACACUGAUGCAUUCAACGAGCUUUCGAUCUUGCCCGAGAGGGUUGGAUAAUCUUUUUAAAGUGCAUCGUGAUGGGGAUAGAUUAUUGCAAUUAUUAAUCUUGAACGAGGAAUUCCUAGUAAACGCAAGUCAUCAGCUUGCAUUGAUUACGUCCCUGCCCUUUGUACACACCGCCCGUCGCACCUACCGAUUGAAUGACUCGGUGAAAAAUCGGGACUGUGGUCUAGCUUGCUUAAUUGCAAACUUGACUGUGGGAACUUUCUUUAACCUAUUCAUUUAGAGGAAGGUGAAGUCGUAACA